Molecule: ribosomal RNA, 358 nt
Filed under: uncultured bacterium
Lineage: Bacteria
Description: bacterial SSU rRNA
Rfam family: Bacterial small subunit ribosomal RNA
Source: RNAcentral
CUGACGGUACCUGAUGAAUCAGCAUCGGCUAACUCCGUGCCAGCAGCCGCGGUAAUACGGAGGAUGCAAGCGUUAUCCGGAUUUAUUGGGCGUAAAGCGUCCGCAGGUGGUUUUUCAAGUCUGCUGUUAAAGCGCAGAGCUUAACUCUGUAACGGCGGUGGAAACUGAGAGACUAGAGUAUGGUAGGGGUUGCGGGAAUUCCCAGUGUAGCGGUGAAAUGCGUAGAUAUUGGGAAGAACACCAGCGGCGAAAGCGCGCAACUGGGCCAUUACUGACACUCAUGGACGAAAGCUAGGGGAGCGAAAGGGAUUAGAUACCCCUGUAGUCCUAGCUGUAAACGAUGGGUACUAGGUGUUGA